UGGGGAAUAUUGCACAAUGGGCGGAAGCCUGAUGCAGCGACGCCGCGUGGGGGAUGAAGGCCUUCGGGUUGUAAACUCCUUUCGACAGGGACGAAGCUUUUGUGACGGUACCUGUAUAAGAAGCACCGGCUAACUACGUGCCAGCAGCCGCGGUAAUACGUAGGGUGCGAGCGUUGUCCGGAAUUACUGGGCGUAAAGAGCUCGUAGGUGGUUUGUCGCGUCGUCUGUGAAAUUCCGGGGCUUAACUCCGGGCGUGCAGGCGAUACGGGCUGACUUGAGUGCUGUAGGGGAGACUGGAAUUCCUGGUGUAGCGGUGAAAUGCGCAGAUAUCAGGAAGAACACCGAUGGCGAAGGCAGGUCUCUGGGCAGUAACUGACGCUGAGGAGCGAAAGCAUGGGUAGCGAACAGG
This 409-nucleotide ribosomal RNA is filed under the name Actinomycetes bacterium. RNAcentral describes it as "Actinobacteria bacterium partial 16S ribosomal RNA". It matches the Rfam family "Bacterial small subunit ribosomal RNA", at positions 355 to 776 of the family's 1533-position model. The record is from RNAcentral. Lineage: Bacteria; Bacillati; Actinomycetota; Actinomycetes.